AGUAGCCGACCUGAGAGGGUGACCGGCCACAUUGGGACUGAGACACGGCCCAAACUCCUACGGGAGGCAGCAGUGGGGAAUAUUGGACAAUGGGCGAAAGCCUGAUCCAGCGACGCCGCGUGAGUGAAGAAGUAUUUCGGUAUGUAAAGCUCUAUCAGCAGGGAAGAAAAUGACGGUACCUGACUAAGAAGCCCCGGCUAACUACGUGCCAGCAGCCGCGGUAAUACGUAGGGGGCAAGCGUUAUCCGGAUUUACUGGGUGUAAAGGGAGCGUAGACGGUUAAGCAAGUCUGAAGUGAAAGCCCGGGGCUCAACCCCGGUACUGCUUUGGAAACUGUUUGACUUGAGUGCAGGAGAGGUAAGUGGAAUUCCUAGUGUAGCGGUGAAAUGCGUAGAUAUUAGGAGGAACACCAGUGGCGAAGGCGGCUUACUGGACUGUAACUGACGUUGAGGCUCGAAAGCGUGGGGAGCAAACAGGAUUAGAUACCCUG
This 490-nucleotide ribosomal RNA is filed under the name uncultured bacterium. RNAcentral's name for it is "bacterial SSU rRNA". It matches the Rfam family "Bacterial small subunit ribosomal RNA", at positions 282 to 789 of the family's 1533-position model. The record is from RNAcentral.